UACAGAGGGUGCAAGCGUUAAUCGGAAUUACUGGGCGUAAAGCGUGCGCAGGCGGCUUCUCAAGUCAGGGGUGAAAGCCCAGAGCUCAACUCUGGAAUUGCCUUUGAGACUGUGAAGCUUGAGUACGAGAGAGGUGAGUGGAAUUCCCAGUGUAGAGGUGAAAUUCGUAGAUAUUGGGAAGAACACCGGUGGCGAAGGCGGCUCACUGGCUCGUAACUGACGCUCAUGCACGAAAGCGUGGGGAUCAAACAGG
Molecule: ribosomal RNA, 253 nt
Filed under: uncultured bacterium
Lineage: Bacteria
Description: partial 16S ribosomal RNA
Rfam family: Bacterial small subunit ribosomal RNA
Source: RNAcentral